This 468-nucleotide ribosomal RNA is filed under the name uncultured bacterium. RNAcentral describes it as "partial 16S ribosomal RNA". It matches the Rfam family "Bacterial small subunit ribosomal RNA", at positions 28 to 507 of the family's 1533-position model. The record is from RNAcentral.
GACGAACGCUGGCGGCGUGCUUAACACAUGCAAGUCGAACGGAAAGGCCCUGCUUUUGUGGGGUGCUCGAGUGGCGAACGGGUGAGUAACACGUGAGUAACCUGCCCUUGACUUUGGGAUAACUUCAGGAAACUGGGGCUAAUACCGGAUAGGAGCUCCUGCUGCAUGGUGGGGGUUGGAAAGUUUCGGCGGUUGGGGAUGGACUCGCGGCUUAUCAGCUUGUUGGUUGGGUAGUGGCUUACCAAGGCUUUGACGGGUAGCCGGCCUGAGAGGGUGACCGGCCACAUUGGGACUGAGAUACGGCCCAGACUCCUACGGGAGGCAGCAGUGGGGAAUAGUGCACUAUGGGCGGAAGCCUGAUGCAGCAACGCAGCGUGCGGGAUGACGGCCUUCGGGUUGUAUACCGAUUUCGCCUGUGACGAAGCGUGAGUGACGGUAAUGGGUAAAGAAGCACCGGCUAACUACGUG